RNAcentral lists this ribosomal RNA (253 nucleotides) under uncultured bacterium. RNAcentral's name for it is "partial 16S ribosomal RNA". It matches the Rfam family "Bacterial small subunit ribosomal RNA", at positions 524 to 776 of the family's 1533-position model. The record is from RNAcentral.
UACGAAGGGGGCUAGCGUUGCUCGGAAUCACUGGGCGUAAAGGGUGCGUAGGCGGGUCAUCAAGUCAGGGGUGAAAUACUCCGGCCUAACCGGAGAACGGCCUCUGAUACUGGUGACCUCGAGGGGUGUAGGGGCAUGUGGAACUUCCGGUGGAGCGGUGAAAUGCGUAGAUAUCGGAAGGAACGCCGGUGGCGAAAGCGACGUGCUGGACACCUUCUGACGCUGAGGCGCGAAAGCCAGGGGAGCAAACGGG